UACGUAGGAUGCAAGCGUUGUCCGGAAUUAUUGGGCGUAAAGCGAACGUAGGCGGCCUUUUAAGUUUGGUCUUAAAGACCAGGGCUCAACCCUGGGAAUGGACUGAAUACUGGGAGGCUAGAGGAUGUCAGAGGAAAGUGGAAUUCCAAGUGUAGCGGUGAAAUGCGUAGAUAUUUGGAGGAACACCAGUGGCGAAAGCGACUUUCUGGGACAUUUCUGACGCUGAGGUUCGAAAGCUCGGGGAGCAAACAGG
Molecule: unclassified non-coding RNA, 253 nt
Filed under: uncultured cyanobacterium
Lineage: Bacteria; Bacillati; Cyanobacteriota
Description: contains 16S-23S intergenic spacer region
Rfam family: Bacterial small subunit ribosomal RNA
Source: RNAcentral